GUCUCCGUAGCUCAGUGGAUAGAGCACUGGUUUCCGGUACCAAAGGUCGCAGGUUCGAAUCCUGUCGGGGACGCCG
Molecule: transfer RNA, 76 nt
Filed under: Corynebacterium humireducens NBRC 106098 = DSM 45392
Lineage: Bacteria; Bacillati; Actinomycetota; Actinomycetes; Mycobacteriales; Corynebacteriaceae
Description: tRNA-Arg
Rfam family: tRNA
About the family: Transfer RNA (tRNA) molecules are approximately 80 nucleotides in length. Their secondary structure includes four short double-helical elements and three loops (D, anti-codon, and T loops). Further hydrogen bonds mediate the characteristic L-shaped molecular structure. tRNAs have two regions of fundamental functional importance: the anti-codon, which is responsible for specific mRNA codon recognition, and the 3' end, to which the tRNAs corresponding amino acid is attached (by aminoacyl-tRNA synthetases). tRNAs cope with the degeneracy of the genetic code in two manners: having more than one tRNA (with a specific anti-codon) for a particular amino acid; and 'wobble' base-pairing, i.e. permitting non-standard base-pairing at the 3rd anti-codon position.
Source: RNAcentral